This 785-nucleotide ribosomal RNA is filed under the name uncultured fungus. Its description in RNAcentral is "eukaryotic LSU rRNA". The stretch from base 397 to 550 matches the Rfam family "5.8S ribosomal RNA". The record is from RNAcentral. Lineage: Eukaryota; Fungi.
AAGAAAUGGGCAAUCCGCAGCGAAGUCCCUAAGUCUGAAUAGAGGAGAUAUGGGAGACGUUCACAGACUAAGUAGAUAUGGUGGGAUUUGGAUCCUGCUUAAGAUAUAGUCGGGCUCCUUAUGAAAAUAAGGAGAAGUAUCCUGCUUCUAGGAGUCUAUUACUGUUCCGUAGGUGAACCUGCGGAAGGAUCAUUAUAGAGUGAAUGGCUUUGGCCUAAUCUCUCCCCCCUUGUCCUUUUCUUACCAUGUUGCUUUGGUAGAUCAGCCCCCUAACAGGGCUUUUUCCGGGGAGGGAUGGUGGGUGUAAGCUCCAGUCCCCAAAGCCGGUGUCUGCCAGAGGCCCUUUUAAAUUCUUAUAGUUACGUGGUCUGAGUUGAAGAAGAUAUAAUUUGUAAAAACUUUCAACAAUGGAUCUCUUGGUUCCGGCAUCGAUGAAGAACGCAGCGAAAUGCGAUAAGUAAUGUGAAUUGCAGAAUUCCGUGAAUCAUCAAAUCUUUGAACGCACAUUGCGCCCUCUGGCAUUCCAGGGGGCAUGCCUGUCCAAGCGUCAUUGCUGACCUUCAAGCUCAGCUUGGGUUAUUGGGCCCUUCCACCUUUUUUGGCAGGUGGUGGCCCUAAAAGCAAUCAUGGUGGGGCUGUUGGUCCUUGAAGCAUUCUGGGGCUUUGUCACCUGUUUCAGACCGCAGACCUGCUAUUCCCCUGUUGCCCUAUGGAGGAUCUUUUUCUUUCUCCAUGGGUGCUCACCGAUGGACCUUGGAUCAGGUAGGGAUACCCACUGAACUUAA